This 5704-nucleotide long non-coding RNA is filed under the name Nicotiana tabacum (common tobacco). Its description in RNAcentral is "long non-coding RNA (NTAB_LNC009160)". Lineage: Eukaryota; Viridiplantae; Streptophyta; Magnoliopsida; Solanales; Solanaceae. The record is from RNAcentral.
CCAAGGAUUGGUAGUACAAAUUAUGAGCUUCUAAGAUUUAAAGUUUACAAAGCUGAUAUGAAAUAAAUACAUCAUCUGUUUGAAAUAUACAUGAACAAAUUAAUAAUUCUAAAGCUACCAAGAACAAGAGGCAGUUGUGACCGAAAUGCAGGUACAUCUUCAAUUCUUGCUUCAACCAUACACAAUAACAUCAACAUCCAAAAUCUGCACGCAAGGUGUAGAAGUGUAGUAUGAGUACAACCGACCCCAUGUACUCAAUAAGUAACAAACCUAACCUUAGGUUGAAAGCAGUGACGAUCUUGAACAACAGUCAGAGUCCAACACCAAUAGCCAACAUCAACUCAUAACUAUAUAAUAAAGUAGUACAAGAAACAACUCAAAUAUAUGAUGCUCAGCUCGUUCACAAUUAUGAAAAAAUAGGCAUGCUUUUCAAGUUUAACAGUAAAACCUAAUCUUUCACUGAAAUCCCCAAAAUAUGAGUAUAUGAGAAAACUGUGAUUUUUUCCCCCAAAAACAUUCAACAACAAAUAAAAAUAUUUCAAUCUCUUAGGGCAUAGGGAAAGUACAUCUUUAUGCCUAAAUAUCAAUGUGCACGUGAAGUCAUGAAUGUCACAAUACUGUGUAGCAUGAGAAAAUGCAUCUCUAUGGCUGUAUGUCAAAUAUACAUGACAAUGCAAUGCAUCACAGUGAUGAAAUCAUGUACUCACACUCUCGGAGUACUCAAUCUCACUGUCUUGCACUCAAUCACUCAUCACUGUACGGUGCCAGCUACGGCGCGCAGCCCGAUCCCAUCAAUAAUAAUAAAGCCUAUAAGACCUGUUGUGGCAUGCAUAUCGAUACACAUAUAGCUAUAAGGCCUGUUGCGGCGUGCAACCGAAUCCACAUAUAUCCAUAAGGCAUGUUGCGGCGUGCAACCGAAUCCACAUAUAGCCAUAAGGCAUGUUGCGGCGUGCAACCCGAUCCACAUAUAGCCAUAUGAAUAAAUAAUAUCCGUUGUGGCAUACAACCCGAUCCCAUCAUGAAUCAAUAGCACUUGCUGCGGCGUGUAGCCCGAUCCCAUCAAUAUCACUCACAAUCUGGCCCUCAGCAUCAACUUAGUCAUCAAUCUCUCUAGUCUCUCGGGCUCAUAAAUCUCAUGCCAAUCAGUCCAAACAAUGAUAACAUGAUGUGACAACGAUGAUAAUUGAGACUAAGAUAUGAUAUGAAAAUUAAUGAAUAUGACUGAGUAUGUAAUUACAAUUUAUGUAAAUAACUUAAUAGCAAAAAUAACCUCAAUUGAUCCCAACAGAAUAUGUACAUAGCCUAAACAUGAUUUCUAACAUGGAUCACAGCUUAAUUAUUCUAGCACGUAGGAAUUUCAUGGAUAAAAACAAGAUAGAAUACUACACGGUACCACAGAAUCAUCCGAGUCAUAAUUCACAUGGUGCACACCCACACGCUCGUCGCCUAGCAUGUGCGUCACCUCAAUACUAAACACAUAACACGUAUAUUAAGGGGUUCAUACCCUUAUCACCAAGUUUAAAAGUGUUACUUACCUCAAACGAGUUGAAUCCAAUACCAAGCAAGUCAAACGAUACUCUAGAACAUCAAAUAAUGUCAAAGGAAACAAACCCAAUCGAUAAAAGUUGAAUCUUUAAUUAAAAGCUCAAAGUCAACCAAAAAUUCAAACACGACCCCACACCUCGGAACCUGACAAAAGUCACAAAAUCCAACAACCCAUUCAAUUAUGAUUCCAACUAUACUAGUUUCACUCAAAUCCAACUCUGAAUCGAUGUUCAAAAUCCAAUUAUUCACUUUAGAAACGUUUUGACAAACCUUAUUUCCUAUUGUUAAAUCCUACAUUUUGAUGUUAAAUCUAGUGAUGGAUUCAUGUAAAUCUCAUAGAUAUAUGUUACAAUCACUUACCCCAAGCUUGUAGAUGAAAGUCUAGGUUGAAACCUUUCAAACCCGAGCUCCCAGGGUACCUAUUUAAUUAUUAAGUUAUGUUCAUUACAGGUCUACAAACUGGUGAGAUUAUGGGUAAGGGUUAUUGUUCUUCUAAGGAGAAGGUGCUAGGCACCCCUUAAAAUCUACCUGAGGUAGCUCCAUAGGACUUAGACAAAUUUUAAGGACUUAGUUAUUUAUACUAUGCUUUAAUUAUUACUAAGGCAGGGCUCGCUAUAUGCUAAAGGAAAUGAAUGUGUAAGAAUAAGAAGGGUAUUGAAUUAUAAAAGAGUUAUUGGAGGCUAAGAGAGUUUUGAAAGUGGUUUAUAUUUUAAAGCUUGAAUUAUUAAGUUAAGAAAAUUUAUUAUAUUUGAAGAAUAUAUGAUAGAGUAAUCUUUGUUUGUAAGAAAGAUAAUUUUUUAAUGUACCUUGGUUAUCAAAAAAAUCUGAAGAAGCGAGUCUUUGAAAAUUCAUUUGAGACGGUCUGUUACUGCCCUUUUUUUGAAAAAUCCGACUUUGUUCCUUAUUGGUGAGAACAAGUGACUCUUUCUUAAUUUCCUUUAAAGAAACAAGUUGUUCUAAUUAAAAACCUGAGCUUCAAAACCUAGUGAGUGUAUAAGAUGAACAUGUUGAAAUAAACAGGAGGAGAAGAUCAAUUACUAGUUAUUUUCUUUUAAAUCCUAUAUUAAUUAAUAUUUGCCUAUGUUUUACGUGAUACUAGAGCAUAAAAGAAAAAUACAUAAUCUAUCAUAUGAGUGUUAAUACAUGAUAAUGAAGAUGCAAUAAGACAUCGAAGGCAGUAAGUGAAAAUAAUUAAGGCAGUAAACUAAGCUAGGAAAUAAUGGGCAGUAAUGCAAGGAGUAAGGGAGAAUACUGAACUAUGAAGAUUGGGCCUCAACAAGGUAGGCCCAGCAAUCUGAGAGGUGCGGCUAUGGCAAGAGUGGACUUUCCAAAGAUGCAGCAAGGCUGGUUUGGGCCUAAAUUCCUUAGGAAUUCAGCAGGCCCAAAUCUGUACAUGUCAAAAAGAAAUAAAGAAGGUCAUUAGAAAUGUACUCCAUGUUCUCAGCAUACUCUAAUGCACAUAACAUGUCACAUUCUAAUAUACAUGACAUGUAUACAAACAGAUAAUUGAAACAAUGAAAUGAUUAAGGGACUCAAGGCCUAGAGCAAUGCCUGUGCCAGGGAGGGCAGCCCAACCUAAAGUUGAACUCCGCUCCCAAAUACCCUUAAACACUAACGACAUAUUUUUCUUAUGGGUUUGAGUGCCAAUGAGGCCAUACCAAUGUAAAUUAAACGCUAAAGUAUUACCUAUCACAAAAUAUAUACCUUCCCUUCUAUCAUAAGAACAUACAAACUAUACUGGAUGAGCAAACAAAUACAUGUAUCACAUGAAAGAAAACAUCUAAUUCUGAAACUCAUAAAGGUGUACAUUGGAAACAUCACAAACAUGUUACAAUAGUCCAAAUUUAGAGUAAGGCAAUACUCCAAAGAAAGGUAAAUCUAUACAACAACAACUCAACAUAUAUAGAGGUUCUUUGUGCAUGCUGAACAUAGUGAACUGGCUGACUUUUUCCAGCAUAUUCAUAGGUUGGCUUUAAUAUUUUUAAUGAUAAUCAAUAAUAUAAAUUCAGGUAAUACACUCAUGACUAGUCAUUUUUAGUGGUUGUUGAAGAAAUCUAGGACAUGAUCGAAACUUUCAACAGAUAUAUAGUUUACAGAUCACAACAGGGAGUUCCUUAGGAUUUAUACAAAUCAUACUCCUAAUAAAUCAUCAAGUUCAAAUAACAUUGGCCUGGAUCCUUAUGAGACUUUAGGGAUUAAACUAGGUUCAAAGUUAUCAUAGAGAAAAAGUUAGGGCAGUUCUGGACAUGAUAUAUAAUCAUGAACUAAACAAGAAACAUGCAAUAUUCAGUCAGAUACUUAAAUAUUUCAAAUGCUGUGAUGAUUCUUAUGUAAACAGGGGAAACAUUUCAUAUUUUAGAGUGAGUUAAACAAAAGGUUACAGAUAAGGGAAAAGACAUUGCAUCAAUACAGGUUUAACUUAAAGAUUAGUUCUAAAUCAGUACAUGAAUAAAAGGUUGAUCAUACUUCUUUUUUACAAGUUACUACUUAACUAGGGCAGAGUAGUCAGGUUCUUUAAAAGAAAAAGAUGCAUGAUAACCCUAAAGAUGAGAGAUAGGAGAUAUCAAAUAAACAUGUUGCUGAGGGUGUUGACUAAUUAAGAAAAAGUUAAGUUUAACUCAUCAAAUUAGCAGUCUUUAUACCUGACAGAAAGAACAAAAUCCUAAUCACAUUAUGAAAAAAUUACAUAGCUUUAACAGAUGUGUAUAAUAGGAAUACAGAGAGAAGAAAUGGAUUUGGUUCAAACAAGAUCAUGUUAAUAGAAGCAAUAGGUAAAGUAAACCAAAUGAAGGGACAUAGCAGUAACUUAGAAGCAACCUAAUAGACAUGAGUAGAGAAGAAAACAUUUAAACACUUAAAGUUCAUGCUUAAGGUUAAAAGAUAGGGUUAAACAACAUUAGAUUCAUCUUAUUUAUAAUUAUCAGGUAAUAAACUCAAUUUCAAAGCUCACAAAACUACAGAGAUGCAAUAGGACAAAGAUAAGCUUACUGCAUGUCAAUGAAAUCUAUGAAGUUCAUGUUGAACACGAGCAUAUAAUAACUUAGGCAUGGAGAGUGUUGGAAACUCAGAACAAAGAUCAGCAGGGAUCAAUUAUGGUUUAAUGAACCAUCACUUAAAGACUCAUAGCAGAACAACUAAUCACAAGGAGUCAUUAAACUAACAGAGCAUAAGUAUUAGCAUAUUAAAUACCAUAGAACAAUUGAAAUAUACAGAACCUAUCUUGGCAUAUUUAUAUGAUUCAGAGAAACAGACAAAAGAGAAAAGUGAGAGAGGUGCUGACCUUUUUGAGAGCAGAAGACCAAACGGGAACUCUUUUCAGUUGCUUAAGAUCGUAGAACCCUUAAGUUUAGACCAGCAAUAGAACUCAGCAAAAGAAAAGAAAAGCAGUAAGAAACCUAAGGCUUGGAACCCUAAAGCUCUCAGUGUUUGUGUGUGUUUCUCUUAGAUAGUUGGAUCGUGAUUUUCUCUUGUUAGGUCGUGGUAGAUGAGAACAUGAAAGGCUUCUAUUUAUUGUGCCAUUAAAGCUCUAGGGUUCAGAGAAUUAAAAUCGAAUAGUGGAGAGUAACUCAUGGUAAUGAUGAUUGCAAAUCGAAUAAAAAUCAGAAUAUAGAGGAGAAAUUUAGUAUUGAAUUUAUCUGAAUGAAAAGAGAUUGAUCGCUGAAGGAAAAGGACCAUCAGUUAUACUUAAACCUAGAGGUCACUGCGUUUGACCUCUAGGUCAAGAAUCCUAAUGAUGAACCCUUUGAAAAUAUUCAUGCAUGCUCUGAUUGGACGGAGCGAGAGAGGAUUUAGAUGAUUUGAAGUUACAUCUUGAAGCUAGGGUUUUCAGACUCGAAGGGUUUUGAAUUUUGUGAUUAAAAAGGAAUUUUUAGUAGGAUUCACCAAGCUCAGGAGAAAAAGGGUGAUUUUAGGCUUUGAUUUGAAAGAUCAUAACAAAGGUUAGUCGAUUUGAGCUUUCACCUUUGAGCCUAGGGUUUCAGAAUUGGUGCGUUCUGAAUUUGUGAAUGAAAAAGGGAAUGUUAAGUGAGAAUCGUGGUCUAGCAGGGUCAGGGAUAUGAUUUACAGGGAUUUCGAGUGACUUUGCACAAAUUUGUGCAAGGUCUUUGGAGAUUGAUAGCUAAUGGAAACGAGAGAAAAGUGAGGGGAAAGGGAAAGAGGG